AUUCCAGUAGCACCUUAGAGACCAACUAAGUUUGUUCUGGGUAUGAGCUUUCAUGUGCAUGCACACUUCUUCAGAUACACAGAUUUCUGCUUGCACACCAAAGCUUGUAGCCAGAACAAAUUUAGUUGGUUUCUAAGGUGCUACUGGAUU
This is a non-coding RNA of Podarcis lilfordi (Lilford's wall lizard), 150 nucleotides long. NCBI's taxonomy places the organism in Eukaryota, Metazoa, Chordata, Lepidosauria, Squamata, Lacertidae. The record is from the annotation of a GenBank genome assembly.